RNAcentral lists this ribosomal RNA (254 nucleotides) under uncultured bacterium. RNAcentral's name for it is "partial 16S ribosomal RNA". It matches the Rfam family "Bacterial small subunit ribosomal RNA", at positions 524 to 776 of the family's 1533-position model. The record is from RNAcentral.
UACGGAGGGUGCAAGCGUUAUCCGGAAUCACUGGGUUUAAAGGGUGCGUAGGCGGUGAGAUAAGUCAGUCGUGAAAUCUCUUGGCUUAACCAAUGAAAUUGCGAUUGAUACUGUUUUACUUGAAAGAGGUUGAGGUCAGCGGAAUGUGGCAUGUAGCGGUGAAAUGCAUAGAUAUGCCAUAGAACACCGAUUGCGAAGGCAGCUGGCUGGACCUACUUUGACGCUGAGGCACGAAAGCGUGGGGAGCAAACAGG